AGAGAUCAUGGCUCAGGAUGAACGCUAGCGGCAGGCUUAAUACAUGCAAGUCGAACGGUAACAGGACCAGCAAUGGUCGCUGACGAGUGGCGCACGGGUGCGUAACGCGUAUGCAACCUACCUUUAACUGGUGAAUAGCCCCGAGAAAUCGGGAUUAAUACACCAUAAUAUUAUGAAAAGGCAUCUUUUUAUAAUUAAAACUCCGGUGGUUAAAGAUGGGCAUGCGUGACAUUAGCUAGUUGGUAAGGUAAUGGCUUACCAAGGCUACGAUGUCUAGGGGAUCUGAGAGGAUUAACCCCCACACUGGUACUGAGACACGGACCAGACUCCUACGGGAGGCAGCAGUAAGGAAUAUUGGUCAAUGGAGGCAACUCUGAACCAGCCAUGCCGCGUGCAGGAUGACGGACCUAUGGUUUGUAAACUGCUUUUAUACGGGAAAAAACCUCUUUACGUGUAAAGAGCUGAUGGUACCGUAAGAAUAAGGAUCGGCUAACUCCGUGCCAGCAGCCGCGGUAAUACGGAGGAUCCAAGCGUUAUCCGGAUUCAUUGGGUUUAAAGGGUGCGUAGGCGGAAUGGUAAGUCAGUGGUGAAAGCCCUUCGCUUAACGAAGGAACUGCCUCUGAUACUGCCAAUCUUGAGUACAUUUGAUGUGGGCGGAAUGUGUCAUGUAGCGGUGAAAUGCUUAGAUAUGACACAGAACACCGAUUGCGAAUGCAGCUCACAAAACUGUAACUGACGCUGAGGCACGAAAGCGUGGGGAUCAAACAUGAUUAGAUACCCUGGUAGUCCACCCCGUAGCUU
Molecule: ribosomal RNA, 801 nt
Filed under: uncultured Sphingobacteriia bacterium
Lineage: Bacteria; Pseudomonadati; Bacteroidota; Sphingobacteriia
Description: bacterial SSU rRNA
Rfam family: Bacterial small subunit ribosomal RNA
Source: RNAcentral